This 551-nucleotide ribosomal RNA is filed under the name uncultured bacterium. Its description in RNAcentral is "bacterial SSU rRNA". It matches the Rfam family "Bacterial small subunit ribosomal RNA", at positions 353 to 896 of the family's 1533-position model. The record is from RNAcentral.
AGUGGGGAAUAUUGCACAAUGGAGGAAACUCUGAUGCAGCCAUGCCGCGUGUGUGAAGAAGGCUUUCGGGUUGUAAAGCACUUUCAGCGAGGAGGAAAGGGUGCAGGUUAAUACCCUGUAUCUGUGACGUUACUCGCAGAAGAAGCACCGGCUAACUCCGUGCCAGCAGCCGCGGUAAUACGGAGGGUGCGAGCGUUAAUCGGAAUUACUGGGCGUAAAGCGCGCGUAGGCGGUUAAUUAAGUCAGACGUGAAAGCCCAGGGCUCAACCUUGGAACUGCAUUUGAAACUGGUUAACUAGAGUUUUGUAGAGGGUGGUAGAAUUUCAGGUGUAGCGGUGAAAUGCGUAGAGAUCUGAAGGAAUACCAGUGGCGAAGGCGGCCACCUGGACAGAGACUGACGCUGAGGCGCGAAGGCGUGGGGAGCAAACGGGAUUAGAUACCCCGGUAGUCCACGCAGUAAACGAUGUCUAUUAGAAGUUUGUGGCUAUAUGCCGUGGGUUUCAAAGCUAACGCAUUAAAUAGACCGCCUGGNGAGUACGGCUGCAAGGUUA